RNAcentral lists this ribosomal RNA (557 nucleotides) under Proteus mirabilis. Its description in RNAcentral is "partial 23S ribosomal RNA". It matches the Rfam family "Bacterial large subunit ribosomal RNA", at positions 657 to 1211 of the family's 2925-position model. The record is from RNAcentral. Lineage: Bacteria; Pseudomonadati; Pseudomonadota; Gammaproteobacteria; Enterobacterales; Morganellaceae.
AUAGGGGAGCCGUAGGGAAACCGAGUCUUAACUGGGCGAAUGAGUUGCAGGGUAUAGACCCGAAACCCGGUGAUCUAUCCAUGGGCAGGUUGAAGGUUGGGUAACACUAACUGGAGGACCGAACCGACUAAUGUUGAAAAAUUAGCGGAUGACUUGUGGAUGGGGGUGAAAGGCCAAUCAAACCGGGAGAUAGCUGGUUCUCCCCGAAAGCUAUUUAGGUAGCGCCUCGUGAAUUCAUCUUCGGGGGUAGAGCACUGUUUCGACUAGGGGGUCAUCCCGACUUACCAACUCGAUGCAAACUGCGAAUACCGAAGAAUGUUAUCACGGGAGACACACGGCGGGUGCUAACGUCCGUCGUGAAGAGGGAAACAACCCAGACCGCCAGCUAAGGUCCCAAAGUCAUGGUUAAGUGGGAAACGAAGUGGGAAGGCUCAGACAGCCAGGAUGUUGGCUUAGAAGCAGCCAUCAUUUAAAGAAAGCGUAAUAGCUCACUGGUCGAGUCGGCCCGCGCGGAAGAUGUAACGGGGCUAAACCAUGCACCGAAGCUGCGGCAGCGA